RNAcentral lists this non-coding RNA (30 nucleotides) under Mus musculus (house mouse). The record is from RNAcentral. Lineage: Eukaryota; Metazoa; Chordata; Mammalia; Rodentia; Muridae.
UGGGAUCUUGUGUUAGAAGACAGCAUGGUU